AGCAGCCGCGGUAAUUCCAGCUCCAAUAGCGUAUAUUAAAGUUGUUGCAGUUAAAAAGCUCGUAGUUGAAUUUCGGGGUUAGCAGGUCGGUCGUGCCAUCGGUAUGAACUGGUCUCGCUGAUCCCUCCCUCUUGACGAACUGUGAUGCCAUUAAUUUGGUGUCGCAGGGAAUCAGGACUGUUACUUUGAAAAAAUUAGAGUGUUUAAAGCAGGCUCACGCUUGAAUACAUUAGCAUGGAAUAAUGAAAUAGGACGUUUGAUCCUAUUUUGUUGGCUUCUAGGAUUGACGUAAUGAUUAAUAGGGAUAGUUGGGGGCAUUAGUAUUCAAUUGUCAGAGGUGAAAUUCUUGGAUUUAUUGAAGACUAACUACUGCGAAAGCAUUUGCCAAGGAUGUUUUCAUUAAUCAAGAACGAAAGUUAGGGGAUCGAAGACGAUCAGAUACCGUCGUAGUCUUAACCAUAAACUAUGCCGACUAGGGAUCGGAUGAUGUUAAUUUUUUAAUGACUCAUUCGGCGCCU
Molecule: unclassified non-coding RNA, 518 nt
Filed under: uncultured Glomus
Lineage: Eukaryota; Fungi; Glomeromycota; Glomeromycetes; Glomerales; Glomeraceae
Description: SSU rRNA
Rfam family: Eukaryotic small subunit ribosomal RNA
Source: RNAcentral